AUUGAGUUGUCAUUUAUUGGAUAAACAUCGUAAGAUAUUUUUAUUAUAUGGCAUCCCAAGAGACUACAUUGAUUUAUAUUUGUAGUUUUUAUAUGUAGACUACAUAUGAAUGAAUUAAUAAUACACGAUGAAUUACUUCAUAAUGUAGUAAUUCAUUGGGAGUGAAUUUUGAAACAACACCAUUAGGUAAUGCUGCCAUAGAGUCAAUAAGUUGUAAUUUAUUCAAUAAACAAGCUAUAUUUGGGUGACUUGGAUGUAAUUACUAAAUCUAUCAGGUGCAGCUUGAGAAGCAGAAAAAUAUGGAUAACGAGAAGUAUCAGACGUUACUCCGUGGAAGCAUCCUUAAACUUUUUAAACAACAUCGUUUCGAAUAAAUCAUAUACGUCAAACCUGGAAUCUAUAGAGUUAGACAAUGAAAUCAUUGCGAAGAAAAUACUACGAAAUAUCGUAUUUCUCGACUUUUCACGUUCAUCUCACUUAGUAAACAAUGCAAGGCUUAUUUAAAAACUGAGCAAAUAUGGCAUAAAAGGUCAACUAUAAAAAUAAUAACAAAUAAGAUAAAUGAUAUAAUAAUAUUAGGUUAAUUGUCUGGAUUCGGAAGUUUUUAACAAAUUGAUGACAGCAAGUUGUUCUGUUGUUCCGGCGCAUAUUUCAUCAACUGACAGCACGCAGAUUGAAAAUGACGCUUGUAAAAAGAUCAUCAAGGAUGCGAUGAGAUAGAGGAAGAAGUUGGGGAGGUGCUAACGCAUACCCUUAAUCAACUAGGUGGAGUUAACUAAGUCGUAGAUGUUAAGUUGCUACCUGUAAAGUUUAUUCUUAGAUACAUCUAAGCAAAACUUACAGCUGAUGCUCAAAAUAAAAAUGUGUUGCAGCGACAUUUCAAAGAAAAUUCUGACAGUACGGGCUAGCAUGUGUUAUGUUAUAUAAUCAGAUAAAGAAGUUUUUUUUUUUAAUUGUUAAGUAAAUAAAUGAUUAAAUGUUCUUAAAUAAUUAAAAAAUAAUUAUUUAAAAUUUCAAAGCAUUAUUCCAAUGUUAGUUAACAGCAUAAUUAAACUUACAAUUUAAAG
This is a non-coding RNA of Hydra vulgaris (swiftwater hydra), 1067 nucleotides long. NCBI's taxonomy places the organism in Eukaryota, Metazoa, Cnidaria, Hydrozoa, Anthoathecata, Hydridae. The record is from RefSeq and is a predicted model, not a curated record.